RNA transcript from Thunnus maccoyii (southern bluefin tuna), 3109 nucleotides. It is a transcript of the gene named protein ZBED8-like, with no coding region annotated. Lineage: Eukaryota; Metazoa; Chordata; Actinopteri; Scombriformes; Scombridae. The transcript has 2 exons. The record is from RefSeq and is a predicted model, not a curated record.
CGUUAACACAGCUCCUCAGUUCAGCCUCUGUCUGAAACAGGCCGUUUUAGCUCCUGUCUCUUUAAGCCCCCCAACAACCUUAGUAAUGAAGGCUCAAACAAAGUGUUCAGAGCAGGUUGCAGCCCUGGCUUUUGACUUGCAGGAAGAAUUUCUAAAUACAUUAACAUCAAGUUUAGAACUUUGAUCAUGUUUAACAUAUAUAUCUGACAUCAUAACAGUAUAUAAACAACAGAAAAUCACAUAAAGCAUAUGUCCCCUUUAAUGACGUACAAACUACUGCUUUAAAUAAGGAAUACUCAACUUGUUUAUAGGAAUUUUGUGAUCAAUAAAUAUGUUAUUUUUUAUGAUACUAGUGCAGCUAAAAGCUGAAUUGUCUUAUAAUACAGAGUGAUCAUACAGAUAUACACAGAAGGCCUGAAACGUCCUUUAUAAGACGUCUGAUAACCAACAGUUGCUUUUGUUUUGAAAAUCCACCCUUAAUGAACCUCCUUCUUCUUCUUGAACUUUUAUGGCAGUUGUCAAAGAGGGAUAUGGUGCAUGACUACUACCAGCCAGAAUGGAGUGGGAUAAUCAUCUAAAGUUUAACAGUUGAGUUAGUUGUGCGUUCACACUAGAAAAGUUACAAAAAUGUAAGAAUACUCAUAGAAGUUUGUAUGUAUAGUACAAGAAAUGUCUGUUCUCUGAGUGUGUAGUGAAGGAGCUUAACCACAGCUGGAGACAAGUUGUAGAUGGUGGUGAGACAACUCCAGGAACACUUCAGAAACAAACUAACGCAAUUAUUCUAUAUCAUGGUAAGAAGUUCUUCUUGGAUACUGAAACAAAUAGGUAACACUUCUAUAAUCAACUUCUCUGCAAAAUAGCUUGUAAAUCAUAAUUGAAUCCUCAUUCAAAACGUUGUGAUCUGGCAGUUUCCCAGCAGCAGAUGACCAGCAGGCUGGAGCAGUGACACCACUCAACAGAAUCUAUAUGCCCUUUACUUUAUUCCAGCUCUAUAAAUAAAUAAACAGGAGGUGGCUUAUCAAGAAGAGAAUAUGAGAACAGUAUGGCACAUAUGAGAAUAGAGAAGUAUGAAGAAUGAAAAAAAAAAACCCUUCUUAUUAUGUGACAGCGGGAGCAGCAGCUAGCUCAUUAGAGUGCAGGAGAUCUCUUACGCCAGGCAGGUGAGGAUACACACAAACUCUAUGAGCGGCUGGCAUUCGGAUGGCGAGGAAGGCCCCGCAUGAUCACACAGUAAAUGAAAUGAAAGCGCACAGGAGUAGUUAGUAUUCACGGCAGUCUAUGUCCUUGUAACGGCAUGGAAUUUUGGUUUUAUCUCAUUGGAGGAUCUCAUCCAUUAUUUAGGAUGCAGGCGCGAACCGACAGACGCUCCUCAAUAAUUCCUAGGGAGCUCGCCUGCCUCUGCCUCUGCUGCUCUCUCUCUCUCUCUCUCUCUCUCUCUCUCUCUCUCUCACACUUUAUCUUCCCACUUUCUCCCUUGUCUUUUUUGAUGACUGUUUUCGGUUUCCCCAGCCGCCCGCUCUCUAAUAUUCCUCCACAAGCGCGUGUUUGGUUGACCUGGACGGGCCUCGGUUAUAUAGUACACGCAUAUAUGCUUAAAGCCUGAGAGGUGCUAGAGGAAAGCAAGUGAUAGAAUCAGACAGAAGUGUGAAGUUGCCUCUCAUGAAUAUGUUAUGCGCAGAAGCUGGAGUGGGUCCCCAUAGUUUGUUAAUUUCCUGUCAGGCUGCUCUAUUAUUCAUGCACAUACUCUGAAUGUGUGAUGUUUGCAUGCAGCUGCAGAGUGCGCACAGGGACCGCCGGUACACUCGGACUGACCCCCCCCCCUCCCGCUGACUUACACACAUACAGCCUCCGAUACUCCCACGUGGCUACCUGAAGCCCGCCGCACAUUGAGAUUCUGUUGACUUCCCCGAGCCUCCGCCUUUCAUGGUGACACCCAGAUAAAGAUUAUCCGUGAUAAAAAUGUUAAUCAGUGGAUUUAUGAGGGAUAAGAUUGUCAUUAUAAAAUGUGCAACACGGCCAUCCUUUACACAGUGUGACUAAAGGUAUUACAGUGUUGUGUUAUUUACAUUUAAUGCAUGCCAAUCCUGAGUCUGGGUACUAACCAGAGUUGAACAACAGGUGGCAGUGUUGCUUUGGAUAGAGAUCUUUGUGGUACACAAAGACUUUCUCUCAAAAAAAACUGUAUAUGUGAUGGCUGAAGACACUCCUAGAAAUAAACAUAAUGACUGACACUGGCAGGGUGAUUGAUUAUGUUGAUCAAGUCUAAAUAUCCAAAAGGUUUCAGUUUGGAGGCCAAACCUGAAAAGAUUUGUCUGAAUAAUCAGAACCGGUGUAUAGUUGGAGGUGAGGUAUGUACAAAACAAAAGGAGGAAAUGAACCAGCGCGUUCUCAUCUGACACGCUCUGUUUAUUAAUCCUUUAACUCAUUGAUUGGAACCUCUUUACAUUUGGAUCAAUUAGUGAGGCAGCUAAGGGUGAGACAUGUAUGGCGAGAGGCAAGCACAAUGUUUCCCUGUCCCCCUUUUUACCUUAUUAUUUAAAAGGAGUGUUGAACGCGCUAUCUUGUUGUUUGUUGUCAAAGCAUCAGACUUCAAGGAAACGGUGGGAAAGGAGAUUUUAGAGUGGGGGUUUUAUGUUAUUUUCAAUUUUUUUUUUUUUUUUAACCAGAGUGUUGUCUGCCCUUGAAUGAGCUUAGGUGUGCUUUGAGAUUUUAUUGUGAUGCAGAGAAGAGGAAGGUCGAAUUAAAAUAAAACCUUUUUUUAAAAAAAAAAAACUGAUGUACUGCUGUCGCUUUCUCUUUGUGUCAGUACAGCCAGAUUCAGCUUUCAUUCCCACACCGGGCCCUCCUUCCAUAUAUGACAGCUGUGACGCAACCACUGGAGAUGAUAACAGCCACUCUAGUCAGCGCUUGUGAUCCCACCAGACGCACCGCAGCAUGUUUCAGAGGCAUCCCAGAAGCGGCUCUCCACUCUGCUCCGCUAAACAAACCUGCCUAGUCUUUUUUUUUGACGGAAGUUGCGUCAAACUGCAGAAUGAGCCGGGCAGGAAGUCAGACACAGGAAUGGCGUAGAGCGUCUGGUCAAUUUUCAAAAUAAAACACCCUGUGCAGA